AGGAGGAGAGAAACCCGUAGCUUCAUCACCUGCUGCAGCAUUUGAACCAACCCAGGAAUAAGCGUUGUGUUGAUAGUAUCUAAGAAAUUCGAGGGAUAAAAUCUCCUCUCGAGGGCUAGUGAACCAUCCUGGUUAAGUGUGAAGUUGUCCCUGUUUCAAGUGGCAGUGUAGUUUUCCAGAUCUCUGCACUUUUAUCCUUCCCUCAAUCCCUUCUGAUAACCACACACUUAGAUUUA
Molecule: long non-coding RNA, 236 nt
Organism: Populus euphratica (Euphrates poplar)
Lineage: Eukaryota; Viridiplantae; Streptophyta; Magnoliopsida; Malpighiales; Salicaceae
Exons: 2
Source: RefSeq, a predicted model, not a curated record